RNAcentral lists this long non-coding RNA (2360 nucleotides) under Mus musculus (house mouse). RNAcentral describes it as "predicted gene, 26826". Lineage: Eukaryota; Metazoa; Chordata; Mammalia; Rodentia; Muridae. The record is from RNAcentral.
GGGGGAAUCCCCCUCCCCCCCCAAACUGGAUCUUUCAGGGGCUGAGGGCUCUUUCUGUCAGUUGGAGAUCUGAGUGGAGGGGCUCUGCCCCGGUCCACUGUCUAGGUGCACGGAAGUUGAGGGGCGAGGUCUUCUACUCUCCAGCAAACUGGAACCAAUUCCUGGCGGUUCCCUGGAGGGUCCUGGCUUGUGCGUAUCAGGACGCCUCUCCGCGGUGCUCCCAGAGUGCAGAAGAGAGCAUUAGACUCCCUGGAGCUGGAGUUUCAGAUGCUGUGAGCCUCCUUGGAUGCUGUGAAGUAAAUGCAGGUCCUUUGGAAAAACAGUACUUCCUUCUAACCACACAGCCAUCUCUCCAGGCCCUGCAACUCUUCAUAUGUAAUUAACAUAUCACAGAUACAUUUUACAAGCCUUUUCCUUUUCUUCUUUUUGAAAAGAAUUUUCCUAUAGCCUACACUGACCUUGAACUUAAUUAUAUAGUACAGGAUGACUUUGAACUCCUGAUCAAAUGGUCACUUUUAAAGACAAUGUAUCCCAUGGAAUAUGAUAAAAGUUUGUAUACGCAAGCAUCAGCUUCAAAACAUAAUAACUAAAUUGAUCACUGCUUUUGUGAUUGUUUUCCUAUGCAGUCUCCUCAUCAGAAAUAGAGGGAUAAUAAUACAUAUUUCAUAGUUUUCAGAAGGCUUGCAUGACUUCAUCUAUGUAAUGCCCUUAGAUUAGAGGAGUGGGCUAGAGAGAAAAGGGGCUUAAAAGACUCAACAGUCAAUUGAAUUACUAUGGAUCAAGAGAUAUGUCCAUAAAAUACGGGAUACAAACCUUUAAGGGGAAUCCUGAUUGGAAUAGGGCAAUUGGGAAAAAAUACUAUAAGGCAAAUGGCAAAGUUUCAAUAUUCACUUGGUAGUACCAAGAAUUCAAAUUUCUUCUGAGUCUCACUAUGUAGCCCUGACUGGCAUUAAACCCACAGGCCUGCCUCUGCCUCCCAAAUGCAGUCAGUAGAGAGAUGUGUUCCAUCACAUGCUGCUUAGAAUCAAGAUUUCUUACAUUUUUAGAUAUGAAAGGGAGCCAAGCAUAGUAACAUAUACUUGUAACCCCAGCACUCAGGAGGUAAAGACAAGAGGACCCGUAGUUUAAGAUUAUUCUCAGCUGUGUAGGUAGUAAAUUAAAAACCAGCCUGUCUCAAAAAAAAACAAAAACAAAAACAAAAACCUAGAUAAAUAAUUAUUCAUGGGGCUGAAGAGAUGACUCAGCGAUUUAAGAGCACAUGCCUUCCUAGAGGACCUGAGCUCCAGUCCCAGUGCCCAUGUUGGACAACCAGGGGAUGUGGCACUUCUGAACACCUGCACUCACACGCACAAACACAUACACGUAAUUUAAAAUAAAAUAGGUCUUAUAAACAAUGGGGGGGGGGGCAUCUUCUUGGAGACAAGUGGGAGGAGGAAUGGGAUGGAAAAAAGAAAAAGAGAAGAGGAAGAAGAAGAGGGGGAAGCAGGGGAGUUGGAACAAAGGAAGGAAAUAAUAAACAAUGGGCCAGGUAGUGGUGGUGUCUAAGUCUUUAAUCCCAGCACUCAGGAGGCAGAAGUACACACAGAUGUUAUAAGUUCGAGGCCAGUCUGGUCUACAGAGUGAGUUUCAGGACAACCAAGGCUACACAGAGAAACCCUGCCUUGAAAAACAAACAAAGGUGGAUUAAUGAAAUUCCAUUAUUUUUAAGGGAUAUUUAAAAAUGUGUAUUAGAGUGACUUAAGCAUGAAAUGUCUGAAAUUUGUCUCAAAAUAAUCAAGUGACCAGGAGGAAAGUAGAGGUGGCAAAAUAUUGGCCAAAUAUUGCUUAUUGCAACAUUUAAGCAUACAUGUUGUUCUCAGGCUAAAGAGAUAGCUAAGAUUUCAGCUCUUGCAGAGGACCCAAUUGGACACGCAAGUCCAGCCUCUACCACCACCACCUGUGACUCAAGCUCCAGGAGAUCUGGAUUCUCUCCCCUGGGUGCUGAGGGCACAUGUAGUCACAUGUGUACUAUUCCGUGUCAUGCUCACAUGCAUGUACAAGAGUGAAAAUAAAGUUAGAGCUGGAGAGAUGGCUCAGAGAUUAAGAGCACUUGCUGCUCUAACAGAGGUCCCCAUUUACAUUCGAGCCCUGCUGUCCACUGUUCACAACUGGCUGUAACUCCCAGUUGCAGGAGACUAACUCCCUCUUCUGACCUCUCCUGGCUCCUACAUGCAUGUAAUGCGGAUAUAUAUAUAUACACACAUACACGAUAGAUAUUAAUAAGAUAAAAAUAUAAGAUGUCAUUGUCAUUCUCUCUACUUUUGUGUUUGAAAUUUUACAACAGAGCUUUUAAAAAAAUUAAAAAGAAAUAGUAAAAUGUU